GCCUGGCUGGCUCAGUCUGUAGAGCAUGGGACUCUUGAUCUCGGGGUUCUGAGUUCAAGCCCCAUGUUGGGCU
This 73-nucleotide transfer RNA is filed under the name Felis catus (domestic cat). It matches the Rfam family "tRNA". From Rfam's summary of the family: Transfer RNA (tRNA) molecules are approximately 80 nucleotides in length. Their secondary structure includes four short double-helical elements and three loops (D, anti-codon, and T loops). Further hydrogen bonds mediate the characteristic L-shaped molecular structure. tRNAs have two regions of fundamental functional importance: the anti-codon, which is responsible for specific mRNA codon recognition, and the 3' end, to which the tRNAs corresponding amino acid is attached (by aminoacyl-tRNA synthetases). tRNAs cope with the degeneracy of the genetic code in two manners: having more than one tRNA (with a specific anti-codon) for a particular amino acid; and 'wobble' base-pairing, i.e. permitting non-standard base-pairing at the 3rd anti-codon position. Lineage: Eukaryota; Metazoa; Chordata; Mammalia; Carnivora; Felidae. The record is from Rfam by way of RNAcentral. RNAcentral also lists the same sequence under 3 other names.